GGAGGAAAAGAAACUAACAAGGAUUCCCCUAGUAACUGCGAGUGAAGAGGGAAGAGCUCAAAUUUUGAAUCUGGCAGUCUUUGGCUGUCCGAGUUGUAAUCUAGAGAAGUGUUUUCCGCGCUGGACCGUGUAUAAGUCUCCUGGAAGGGAGCGUCGUAGAGGGUGAGAAUCCCGUCUUUGACACGGACUACCAGUGCUAUGUGAUGCGCUCUCGACGAGUCGAGUUGUUUGGGAAUGCAGCUCAAAAUGGGUGGUAAACUCCAUCUAAAGCUAAAUACAGGCGAGAGACCGAUAGCGAACAAGUACCGUGAGGGAAAGAUGAAAAGAACUUUGGAAAGAGAGUUAAACAGUACGUGAAAUUGCUGAAAGGGAAACGCUUGAUGUCAGUCGCGUUGGCUGGGGAUCAACCUUGCUUCUCGCUGGGUGUACUUCCCGGUCGACGGGUCAGCAUCAGUUUCAGUCGCCGUACAAGGGCGAGGGGAACGUGGCACUCUUCGGAGUGUGUUAUAGCCCUUCGUCGUAUGCAGUGGUUGGGACUGAGGAUCUCAGCACGGCUUCUUGCUUGUGCUCAGGAUGCUGGCAUAAUGGCCUUAAGCGACCCGUC
This 604-nucleotide ribosomal RNA is filed under the name Butyriboletus yicibus. RNAcentral describes it as "eukaryotic LSU rRNA". It matches the Rfam family "Eukaryotic large subunit ribosomal RNA", at positions 52 to 653 of the family's 3401-position model. Lineage: Eukaryota; Fungi; Basidiomycota; Agaricomycetes; Boletales; Boletaceae. The record is from RNAcentral.